This 1206-nucleotide unclassified non-coding RNA is filed under the name Hevea brasiliensis (rubber tree). Lineage: Eukaryota; Viridiplantae; Streptophyta; Magnoliopsida; Malpighiales; Euphorbiaceae. The record is from RNAcentral.
AUUGAGUAUUCCUUUAUUUCUCUUUUCUACUUUAUUCAUCUUAUUAAUAGGUUCAGAUCCUUUCGCCGCCGGCAGAAAACCCCACGUCGUCAAUUUCCGAUCACGUAAUCUCUUCCCGGAAUCAUUCGCUUGGGAUCCUAAAUCCCAACACUUCAUCGUCGGAAGCACUCGUCACCAGAAACUCAUCGCCGUUUCCGAUGCGGGCGUAGUCGAAUCUCUUAUCAUCGAUACUUCACUCCCUGAAAACUCCUCCUUCCUCGGUCUCGCCGUCGACCGCUACAACAACCGUCUCCUCGCCUGUAUCCACCGUCCUCCUUCCCCUGAAAACCCCACACCUUUCAAUGCCCUAGCUUCUUACGAUCUCCAAUCUAACCGCCGCCUUUUCCUCUCCUCUCUCCUCGAUGACGUCGCUCAGGACGACACCGCCGUCGCUAACGACGUCGCCGUAGAUUUCCACGGCAACGCUUACGUCACCAAUUCCGGCGGCGAUUUCAUCUGGAAAAUCACUCUAAACGGUGACGUUUCGAUCUUAUCAAAAUCAAAAGCGUUCAAAUCUCAUCCACUCGAUACGACGACGAAUUACCACAAAUCUGGUUUAAACGGCAUCGUUUUCAGUCCGAGAGGAUAUUUACUCGUGGUCCAAUCAAAUACCGGGAAAUUGUUCAAAGUCAACGUUGACGACGGAGGAGCGAGAGCCGUUAUAUUAAACAGAGACUUAACGGGAGCUGACGGAAUUACCAUAAGACAAGACGGCGUCGUCUUGGUGGUGAGUCAAGAGAAGUUAUAUUUUGUAAAUAGCAAUGAUGGAUGGGGAGAAGGAGGAGUAUAUGACGAAACUACCCUUGAGAGAGAAAGGUUUGCUACAGCAGUGACAGUAGGAGAUGAGAGGAGGGUAUAUGUGUUAUAUGGACAUGUAAAGGAGGGUAUAAAUGGAAAUGAACAAAGAGAUGAAUUUGGUAUAGCUGAAGUGGAAUCUGAAAAAGAAAGUGAAGAAGAACCUAUUUGGUUAUAUAUAUUAAUUGGUAUUGGAUUGUUUAUAUUUUUUAUUUGGAGAUUUCAAAUGCAUAAGUUAGUGGAAAGUUUGAACAAAAAAAUAGUUUGAUUUUUGAUUUUUUUGGUUAGUUUGUAGUGAGAAUUAUAAGUAGUAUAAGUUUGUUUUGUUCCACAAUAAUAUAUAAAAAAAAGAGCUUAUGGUUGUUUCCUUUG